RNAcentral lists this transfer RNA (16 nucleotides) under Leptobrachium liui (Chong'an moustache toad). RNAcentral's name for it is "partial tRNA-Ile". Lineage: Eukaryota; Metazoa; Chordata; Amphibia; Anura; Megophryidae. The record is from RNAcentral.
AUCUGUGCCUGAAAGU